GCGGUAAAGGAGGGGGCUGCGGCCCAUCAGCUAGUUGGUGAGGUAACGGCUCACCAAGGCGACGACGGGUAGGGGACCUGAGAGGGUGACCCCCCACACUGGGACUGAGACACGGCCCAG
Molecule: ribosomal RNA, 120 nt
Filed under: uncultured bacterium
Lineage: Bacteria
Description: partial 16S ribosomal RNA
Rfam family: Bacterial small subunit ribosomal RNA
Source: RNAcentral